This 398-nucleotide ribosomal RNA is filed under the name uncultured Oscillatoria sp. RNAcentral describes it as "bacterial SSU rRNA". It matches the Rfam family "Bacterial small subunit ribosomal RNA", at positions 355 to 767 of the family's 1533-position model. The record is from RNAcentral. Lineage: Bacteria; Bacillati; Cyanobacteriota; Cyanophyceae; Oscillatoriales; Oscillatoriaceae.
UGGGAAUUUUUUCGCAAUGGGCGAAAACCUGACGGAGCAAGACCGCGUGGGGGAGGAAGGCCUUUGGGUUGUAAACCCCUUUUGUUAGGGAAGAAAAAAAUGACGGUACCUAAGGAAUCAGCCUCGGCUAACUCCGUGCCAGCAGCCGCGGUAAUACGGAGGAGGCAAGCGUUAUCCGGAAUUAUUGGGCGUAAAGCGUCCGUAGGUGGCCCGGCAAGUCUGCUGUCAAAGACCACAGCUCAACUGUGGAAAGGCAGUGGAAACUGCAAGGCUAGAGUGCGGUAGGGGUAGAGGGAAUUCCCAGUGUAGCGGUGAAAUGCGUAGAGAUUGGGAAGAACACCGGUGGCGAAAGCGCUCUACUGGGCCGCAACUGACAAUGAAGACGGAAUGCUCAAUUC